AUGAACAUGGAUGAAUUUGUAUGUCUAAGACAUAUGGCCGGGUUAAAUGAGCAGUCUUCAGCUGUACACCUCAGUGGAAACAACUCUCAGGCAAAGGCUGGUGGUUCACAACAGUUAUAUCCUGUCUCCACUGUAUCACUGCAACUCCAACCAUAUGUAAGUCCUGGAGCAAACAUAUCUUGAUGUCCCCAAAAUCUUUAACUAUUCAAUUCUCUUAGUUUUUUCUGCUUUUCUCUCCCACUAACUUUUUGAAUCUAAUUUUAAUUUUAAUUAAAAUUUAAUUUUUUUUUUUUUUUUUGAGACAGAGUCUUGCUGUGUCACCCAGGCUGGAGUGCAGUGGUGCAAUCUCAGCUCACUGCAAGCUCCACCUCCCAGGUUCACGCCAUUCUCCUGCCUCAGCCUCCUGAGUAGCUGGGACUACAGGCGCCUGCCACUGCACCCGGCUAAUUUUUUGUAUUUUUAGUAGAGCUGGGGUUUCACCGUGGUCUCGAACUCCUGACCUUGUGAUCCGCCCGCCUCAGCCUCCCAAAGUGCUAGGAUUACAGGUGUGAGCCACGCGCCAGGCCUUAAA
This 571-nucleotide long non-coding RNA is filed under the name Pan troglodytes (chimpanzee). RNAcentral's name for it is "lncRNA (ENSPTRG00000054059.1)". Lineage: Eukaryota; Metazoa; Chordata; Mammalia; Primates; Hominidae. The record is from RNAcentral.